Long non-coding RNA from Monomorium pharaonis (pharaoh ant), 2845 nucleotides. RefSeq lists it as uncharacterized. The transcript has 2 exons. The record is from RefSeq and is a predicted model, not a curated record. NCBI's taxonomy places the organism in Eukaryota, Metazoa, Arthropoda, Insecta, Hymenoptera, Formicidae.
AAUCAUAAUUUUUCUUACGUAUCUAUAUCUUUUUAUUAAGUUUUUAAUUAUAAAUCAAUUUCAAUUUCAUUUAUGUGGCUAAAACUAGUACAUAUUAUGGCCAGAACUGAUACUUUGGUGGCCACAAAUGAUGAAAUCGGAACUUAUGAUAUAAUUUUUUAUUUUUAAAAUAUUUACUUAACUUUAUUUGGUUGUUGACCUUAAUUAAUUAUCUAAUAACUUUUAAGAAUAUAUUAAAGCAAUUACAAGCAUUUGAUUAACGAAAAAAGAUUCAAUAAAAUGUAUUUAUUUUGUUGAAAAUUCUUAAAGUGGCCACAAAUGGAGCACCGACCCUAUCGCAACACGAAACGAGAGAAUCAAUCAGCGUCGCGGAAAAGAGACCUCAAGGCAUCGAUGCGAACGAAAUUCACUCAGUCAACACGUCUUUUUUAGAGAGGGAUUUUUUCUGAAAACUGUUAAAUAUGGUGAACUGUCAAAAGUUUGACAGCAGUGAAGUAAACGACAGUGAGGCAAGUCACACAGCACGAACUUGACAACCAGCAACUAAUCAACAACGCAGAAAAACGGUGAUAAAAAUAUAUAACACGUUUUUUUUAAGUGGAUAAAAGUAAACUGUAAAUAUAAUAUAAAAGUGGAUUGUAAAUAUGAUUGAUUACUUAAUAUUAUCUAUUUAAAACAGCAAACUCAUUGAUCGAAAUAGAAACAAAAUGUUGAAAUUAACACCUACAGUGCUAGUGCUAUAAUCAAACCAUAUCGUCAGCAGAUGGAACGAUCGAGAACUACGAUUUAAGUAAAACAAACGUGAUCAUUUGUGUCAAGAACUCAAGUGAUAAAUGUUGUGGGUAGGAACAUAGAUAAGAGUAAGGAGAUUAGGAAAGGGAGGGGGAAAAGAAAGACGAUAAUAUAUGUCUAAGAUUUGUAAAUAAGAUUCUGGUAAAAAUUUUGUGUCAUUUUGUUUAUUUAAGUUCACAUUUUGUCGUUUGAUAUGUAAUAUCUGAGAUAUGAGUCUUUUUUGAUAAGACGGCUCUUUAUGUAAUAUUUUGACACGGUUCUAUUUAAACUCAUGAGACAAUUGUAAUCUAUGGUUAGAGAUAACCGAUAGUAAACCAAGUUUUUGUUAAUGUCAUUUUUAUGUUCUUUUAUUCUGGUAAUUAGUUUUUUUUUUUGGCCCACAUAAAAUAUCUCACAAUCUUGGUAAGAUACUUUAUAAAUCACAUCAUAGCAAGUCAUAACAUCGAAACCAUCCAUUUUUAAUCAGUUGCUUUAAAUUGUUGUUAGUGGAAAACGCUAUUCUGCAAUUCAAACUUUUGGCUAUGGAUGUAAAACGUUGAGCAAUUGUUUUGACGAAUGGGACAGUAAAAAAAAGAGACAUUGCUUUUGGAUUCCUGCCACUCUUACAGUCAUUAUCUCUGUUUUGAAGGACAACUUCAGAGAUAAUGGGAGACAGAGGAGAGCCUCUUUACCCUUGCCUAUGUUCCUAUCACAAUAUUCAUCUCUUGAAUUCUUGACAAUAAUCAUGUUCGUUUUACUUAAAUUAUUGUUCUCGAUCGUUCUACCUAAUGAAGAUACGGUUUAACACUUUACGUCACGGUGGGUCACUGAGUUGUCUUUCUAAUUUUUAAUCAUUUUAACAAUUUUUUAAUCUUUUAAAGUCGGUUUUUUGCUUUUUGAUAGUUCGGGUAUCCUGCUUAAAAUAAUAGAAAUUUUUAGUUAUCAUUUCCAAGGGUGAUUUUGAAUCACAUAUUUCGUAUCGCACUUGCGAAAUUUUACACAGACCACGUAUCUUAUAUUAUUAUAUCUAUUACGAAUAAUGUUUCUUAACUAAUCUUUCGCAUCUCAUAUAUUUUAUAACAUUUAAUAAUAAUAAUAGAAGUUGUUUUUCUAUAUGAAUUUAAUAAGAAUAUAUUAUGAUAAAACAAAAGUUUUUAUCAUAAAUGACAUUUAUUAUCAAUAUAAAUAAAAGAAUGUAUGUAUAUGUGACUUUAUGGUAUUUUAUCUACAUAAUUAUGUAACUCUAUGAUAUUCUAUCUAAGUGUGUAUAUAAUUUCAUCUAAACUUAUGUACAUGUGUAUACAGGUCAGUGUUAACCUAUCUGCGUGCAUGCACGUCUAUCAUAAUCUACUUACGUGGAUGUGUAAUUAAACGAUAUUUUAUCUACGUACAUAUGUAAUUGUAUCUACGAAUGUAUGUGACUCUAUGGUAUUUUAUCUACGUGUAUAGGCGAUUCUAUAAUAUUCUAUUUAAGUGUGUAUAUUAUUCUAUGUAAACUUAUCUACGUGUGCAUGCAGUUCAUUGGUAUUCUAUGCGUGUGUAUGUACUUCUACCAUAUUCUAUCUACGUGAGUAUAUAACUCAAUGAUAUUCUAUUUGCGUGCGUAUGUAAUUGUAUCUACGAGUAUAUGCGACUUUAAGGUAUUCUAUCUAAAUACGUAUAUAAUUCUAUGUAAACCUAUCUACAUGUGUAUGCAGCUCAAUGAUAUCUUAUCUAGGUGUGUAUGCACUUCUAUCAUAUUCUAUCUACGUGGACAUGUAAUUCAAUAGUAUUCUAUAUAUGUGCGUAUGUACUUAUGAGUGUAUGGGACCCACCCAGAUAGCACAAGGACAUCCCUUGUAUGUCCAAUGGAUAUCCGCUUCUGGACAUUUGGACAUCCAUUAAGAGUCCAAAUAAGGUUCGUCGGACAUUCGAUGGACGUCCAUAGGAUAUACGUUUGGCACAACUUUGUACGUUCAUAGAAAGUCCUUUAAUGGACAUCCAUGGGAUAUAAGUUUGUCACAAUUUCGGACAUUCAUAGAAAGUCCGAAAUAAACCAAAUUUUGGACCUAUUAUGGUUUGAUUAUUUCUUUUG